RNAcentral lists this ribosomal RNA (247 nucleotides) under uncultured Candidatus Saccharibacteria bacterium. Its description in RNAcentral is "partial 16S ribosomal RNA". It matches the Rfam family "Bacterial small subunit ribosomal RNA", at positions 796 to 1041 of the family's 1533-position model. The record is from RNAcentral. Lineage: Bacteria; Candidatus Saccharimonadota.
CACGCCGUAAACUAUGGAUGCUAGCUGUUAUCGGUAUCGACCCCGGUAGUAGCGAAGCUAACGCGUUAAGCAUCCCGCCUGUGGAGUACGGUCGCAAGACUAAAACAUAAAGGAAUUGACGGGGACCCGCACAAGCGGUGGAGCGUGUUGUUUAAUUCGAUGGUAAACGAAGAACCUUACCCAGGUUUGACAUCCUUGGAAUUUUGCCGAAAGGCGAGAGUGCUUUAUUGAACCAAGUGACAGGUGU